Maniola jurtina (meadow brown) is the source of this 72-nucleotide long non-coding RNA. RefSeq lists it as uncharacterized. Lineage: Eukaryota; Metazoa; Arthropoda; Insecta; Lepidoptera; Nymphalidae. The record is from RefSeq and is a predicted model, not a curated record. The transcript is spliced from 3 exons.
AAAUACUAUUAAACUUAUAGGUACGCUGGACUUGCGAUUGCCGAGCUGUUUUUUGAAGUAACUUGAUUUUCG